Molecule: transfer RNA, 86 nt
Filed under: Tayloriella tenebrosa
Lineage: Eukaryota; Rhodophyta; Florideophyceae; Ceramiales; Rhodomelaceae
Description: tRNA-Ser
Rfam family: tRNA
About the family: Transfer RNA (tRNA) molecules are approximately 80 nucleotides in length.
Source: RNAcentral
AGAUGAAUGACUGAGUGGUUUAAAGUAUCAAUUUUGAAAAUUGACAUAAGGAAUCUUAUCGUAGGUUCGAAUCCUACUUCAUCUAC